Molecule: long non-coding RNA, 880 nt
Organism: Dalotia coriaria
Lineage: Eukaryota; Metazoa; Arthropoda; Insecta; Coleoptera; Staphylinidae
Exons: 3
Source: RefSeq, a predicted model, not a curated record
GAAAUUCCGGUUGAAAAAAUCUGCAAUUUUUUUAAAUGUUAUGACACCGGCGUCAAUAAACUUCAUCUUAAUCAAACAGCAAAGAAUUUUCUCGCACCAGUUGGUCUAAGACCGAAUAAAAUUAAUACAUUUACGUAUAUAAAAAUAAUACCAAUUAUGUGUUUCGUCCAUAUGCUUUGUUUUGGACAAAUUGGACAUAUAAUACACUAUUUAUGUAAUAAUCCGUUCUCAUUCUUUGAUGUGGCUGAUGACAUUGCAGUUAUAUUAACAACCGAAACAAUCACCUAUAUUUUCAUACAUUUCACAACAUUUUCCCCUGAAUUGGAUGAGAUUUGUAAAAAACUAGGCGAUUUUCAAGAUCCUGAUUUAGGAAGAGCGAGAAAUGUUGAAGCAUUGGACAAAUUAUUCACAAAAUACAUCUAUUUAUGUAUACUGAGUUUUGUGGUAACAUGUUUGAUUACAUUUGUAUUUUAUAUCACUGAUCAGUGCGAGCCGGAUGAAGUCAGUAAUUGUGGAUUUAUUUUUACGCCCUAUUUGCCUUAUAUUGAUAUUUAUAAUCAGCCAUGGCGAUCAAUUGCGUUGGUUUGUCAAUGUCUUAGUUCUUAUACAGCAGGGGCAAUUGCCAUGUGUAAUAUUUCGCAGUUUGUAUUCCUUAAUGAAGUGUUAAUUCUAAGGUAUAGUCAUUUGGAGAGUAUUGUUCAACGCAUUCCCAAGGUUAAAAAGUGGGAAAGACGUGCGUUAAUUGGAAGAAUUGUGCGAUAUCACAAUAUUUUAAUGGAAAUAAACGUAAAGUCUAACCAUGCAAUUGGAAAAGCAUAUGCCUUACAUUUGUGUGUUACACCUAUAAAUAUGAGUGUGAUUGCAUUUCAACUACUGAGUA